AAAAUUCCUAGCAUAGAGCCUGGGAACUCAGUAAAUGUUUGUUGAAUGAAUGAAUGAUAAAGAAGGAAGCUGAGUUAAGUUGAAAAACCCUGGAUGUAAAAUCUGUGUCUCUGGCCUGACCCUUACCAGCAAGGUGGCCUUAGGCAAAGCUGCACUCCCUCUCUGAGCCUCUGGAUCAGGACCGGAAAAUAGGACCAUUUCAUCCUCCUUGUAGGAUGAGGAGAUAGUCAAGUGACAAGAAAAGGAGGCGUGAACCCCAGGCCACACGGUGAGGCGGGAGGGGAUGCUCUCCUCGAGAAAGGGCUGAGUCCUGUGGGUGCCCCGGAGCCCAGAGUCUUCCUGAGCGUCUGAAAACUGAACUGAAGAGCCAAGCCUUCUCUCAAGAGUAGCUCGCCCAGCUCAGCCCCAACACCAGGCCACAGAACUCUGCAAUGAGGAAGCUCCAUCUCAGCACCCUGAACUCACAGAGCCCCUGUGAGCAAAUCAGAGCCCAAGAGGCAGCUAGCUGGUCAGGCUCUCGGAGCAAGGGCAGCAGGUCAGCCCUUGGGCUCUCAGCCCCAGCCACCCUUAGAAUCACCGGAAAGCAUGUGAAAUGCAGAUGCUCAGGUCCCACCCCAGACCAAGUCCAUCAGAAUCUUGGGAGACAGUGAUUUAGCAGCCAGAUCUGCUCUGAGCUACAUGAGGCACUUGUUUGUUGGCAUCAGGCUGAGCUAGGAGACACUCCCAUUGCUGUGGGGUACACCCCUCCCCAAGCAUCUGACCUUAGAGAUCUUUCUCUAACGUUAUCCAGAUUCCCCAAAUAAUCCUCAAAUGUGCUACUUCGAAUGCAUACACCUAGUGACGCUGGAGGGGACGAGGGUUUCCGGAGGCCAGGAUAGCGUUCACUUAAUGCCCUGAUUUUUUUGUCCCGUAUCUAAUGGGAUAAAAUGAAAGGAAAGAAAGUAAUAAAGAUAUAAAAUCAAAAAAUUAUCUGGGACUCAUGGACACAAGUCUCUCCAUAAAAAGGGCCAGAAGAGAAGUGGAAAAUAGACCAUACUGGGCACAUUAUUGUAAAACUUCACAACACCAGGGUUGAGAAAAUCCUCAAACCAUGGUGCGUAGAGUGCGGAGAAAAGGAAUCAGAAUGAUGUUGACAUUCUCAACAGCAAGUCCAAAAACUAGAAGGUCAUGAAGCGAUGUCUCAGCAUCCUGAAGGAAAACUAUUUUAGUACCAAUGCAGUCCAGGGGGAGGGCAGAGUGAGACAUUUUCCAAUUAAAAAAAAAUAGAAAAAUUAUUUCCCAGACAUCCUUUCUCUAAAAUUAGGAAUUAAACCAAGAAAUAAGACAUGAAGCCCAGGCACAGUGGCUCACGCCUGUAAUCCCAGCACUUUAGGAGCCCAGCCUCCCAGAUUGCUUGAGCCCAGGAGUUCAAGACCAGCCUGGGCAACAUGAGGAAACCCUAUCUCUACAAAAAAUUCAAAAAUAUGGGCUUGGUGGUGCAUGCCUGUGCUCCCAGCUACUCAGGAGGCUGAGGUGAGAGGGUUACUAGAGCCCGGGAGGUUGAAACUGCAAUGAGCUGUGAUUGUGCCACUGCACUCCAGCUUGGGUGGCAGAGUGAGACUCUGUGUCAGAAAGAAAAGAAAAGAAAGGAAGGCAGUUAAAAGAAAAGAAGAAAGAAAGAGAGAGAGAGGAAAGGAAGGAAGAAAGAAAGGAAGAAAGAGAAAGAAAG
Molecule: long non-coding RNA, 1708 nt
Filed under: Homo sapiens (human)
Lineage: Eukaryota; Metazoa; Chordata; Mammalia; Primates; Hominidae
Description: non-protein coding lnc-HHIPL1-1:6
Source: RNAcentral